This 550-nucleotide ribosomal RNA is filed under the name uncultured bacterium. RNAcentral describes it as "bacterial SSU rRNA". It matches the Rfam family "Bacterial small subunit ribosomal RNA", at positions 355 to 896 of the family's 1533-position model. The record is from RNAcentral.
UGGGGAAUCAUUGGACAAUGGGCGAAAGCCUGAUCCAGCCAUGCCGCGUGUGUGAAGAAGGCCUUUUGGUUGUAAAGCACUUUAAGUGGGGAGGAAAAGCUUAUGGUUAAUACCCAUAAGCCUUGACGUUACCCACAGAAUAAGCACCGGCUAACUCUGUGCCAGCAGCCGCGGUAAUACAGAGGGUGCAAGCGUUAAUCGGAAUUACUGGGCGUAAAGCGCGCGUAGGUGGUUAUUUAAGUCAGAUGUGAAAGCCCCGGGCUUAACCUGGGAACUGCAUCUGAUACUGGAUAACUAGAGUAGGUGAGAGGGGAGUAGAAUUCCAGGUGUAGCGGUGAAAUGCGUAGAGAUCUGGAGGAAUACCGAUGGCGAAGGCAGCUCCCUGGCAUCAUACUGACACUGAGGUGCGAAAGCGUGGGUAGCAAACAGGAUUAGAUACCCUGGUAGUCCACGCCGUAAACGAUGUCUACCAGUCGUUGGGUCUUUUAAAGACUUAGUGACGCAGUUAACGCAAUAAGUAGACCGCCUGGGGAGUACGGCCGCAAGGUUA